Molecule: ribosomal RNA, 591 nt
Filed under: Penicillium glabrum
Lineage: Eukaryota; Fungi; Ascomycota; Eurotiomycetes; Eurotiales; Aspergillaceae
Description: eukaryotic LSU rRNA
Rfam family: Eukaryotic large subunit ribosomal RNA
Source: RNAcentral
CCCAAAGUGUUAAUACCUCAAAAACGGCGAGUGAAGCGGUAAGAGCUCAAAUUUGAAAGCUGGCUCCUUCGGGGUCCGCAUUGUAAUUUGCAGAGGAUGUUUCGGGAGCAGCCCCCAUCUAAGUGUCCUGGAACGGACCGUCAUAGAGGGUGAGAAUCCCGUAUGGGAUGGGGUGUCUGCGCCCAUGUGAAACUCCUUCGACGAGUCGAGUUGUUUGGGAAUGCAGCUCUAAAUGGGUGGUAAAUUUCAUCUAAAGCUAAAUAUUGGCCGGAGACCGAUAGCGCACAAGUAGAGUGAUCGAAAGAUGAAAAGCACUUUGAAAAGAGAGUUAAAAAGCACGUGAAAUUGUUGAAAGGGAAGCGCUUGCGAUCAGACUCGCCUUGGGGGUUCAGCCGGCAUUCGUGCCGGUGUACUUCCCCCAGGGCGGGCCAGCGUCGGUUUGGGUGGCCGGUCAAAGGCCCUUGGAAUGUAACGCCUCUCGGGGCGUCUUAUAGCCAAGGGUGCCAUGCGGCCUACCUGGACCGAGGAACGCGCUUCGGCUCGGACGCUGGCAUAAUGGUCGUAAGCGACCCGUCUUGAAACACGGACCAU